Molecule: long non-coding RNA, 441 nt
Filed under: Vigna radiata
Lineage: Eukaryota; Viridiplantae; Streptophyta; Magnoliopsida; Fabales; Fabaceae
Description: long non-coding RNA (VRAD_LNC008783)
Source: RNAcentral
AUUCUAGUGUUGUUUUAGGCUUCUAAGUUUGAUUGUUAUUGUUUGUGGAAUUUAGACUUAAUCUUUAUGCAUUUUCAUGUAAUUUCCUUUAUCUUUAAUAUAAUGAGCUUAUUUUUUAUAUUUGAUGCCUUUGUUGAGGGGGAGCUCAUUUUAAGGGGGAGAUUUUUCUUUCAUUAUUCUUUUUGCUUCUGAUCAAAAAAGGGGGAGAAGAAAUUUAUUAAGGGGAGAAAUAAACUUGAACAGGUACUGCUAACUUUGUGGUUGUUUUUAGUUUGUAUGUACUGCAGGUAAAACUGAGUAGCUUUUAAAAGAGGAUUUUUGAUCAUCAUCAAAAAGGGGGAGAUUGUUACCAAUAAGGGAGUAUUGGUAAAACCUGAAGACAAGUUUUGAUGAUGCUGCAAAUUGUAAUUCUUGAUUGUAAUAGGAGAAUACUUAAAAAGC